Molecule: non-coding RNA, 74 nt
Organism: Desmophyllum pertusum
Lineage: Eukaryota; Metazoa; Cnidaria; Anthozoa; Scleractinia; Caryophylliidae
Source: the annotation of a GenBank genome assembly
GACGCGGUGGCCUAAUGGUUAGCGCGUUGGACUCCGGAGUCCUGCGGUCUGGGUUCGAGCCCUGGCCUGGGUCA